This 1138-nucleotide ribosomal RNA is filed under the name Rhodotorula mucilaginosa. RNAcentral describes it as "eukaryotic LSU rRNA". The stretch from base 538 to 1138 matches the Rfam family "Eukaryotic large subunit ribosomal RNA", at positions 1 to 617 of the family's 3401-position model. The record is from RNAcentral. Lineage: Eukaryota; Fungi; Basidiomycota; Microbotryomycetes; Sporidiobolales; Sporidiobolaceae.
GAUCAUUAGUGAAUAUAGGACGUCCAACUUAACUUGGAGUCCGAACUCUCACUUUCUAACCCUGUGCACUUGUUUGGGAUAGUAACUCUCGCAAGAGAGCGAACUCCUAUUCACUUAUAAACACAAAGUCUAUGAAUGUAUUAAAUUUUAUAACAAAAUAAAACUUUCAACAACGGAUCUCUUGGCUCUCGCAUCGAUGAAGAACGCAGCGAAAUGCGAUAAGUAAUGUGAAUUGCAGAAUUCAGUGAAUCAUCGAAUCUUUGAACGCACCUUGCGCUCCAUGGUAUUCCGUGGAGCAUGCCUGUUUGAGUGUCAUGAAUACUUCAACCCUCCUCUUUCUUAAUGAUUGAAGAGGUGUUUGGUUUCUGAGCGCUGCUGGCCUUUACGGUCUAGCUCGUUCGUAAUGCAUUAGCAUCCGCAAUCGAACUUCGGAUUGACUUGGCGUAAUAGACUAUUCGCUGAGGAAUUCUAGUCUUCGGAUUAGAGCCGGGUUGGGUUAAAGGAAGCUUCUAAUCAGAAUGUCUACAUUUUAAGAUUAGAUCUCAAAUCAGGUAGGACUACCCGCUGAACUUAAGCAUAUCAAUAAGCGGAGGAAAAGAAACUAACAAGGAUUCCCCUAGUAGCGGCGAGCGAAGCGGGAAGAGCUCAAAUUUAUAAUCUGGCACCUUCGGUGUCCGAGUUGUAAUCUCUAGAAAUGUUUUCCGCGUUGGACCGCACACAAGUCUGUUGGAAUACAGCGGCAUAGUGGUGAGACCCCCGUAUAUGGUGCGGACGCCCAGCGCUUUGUGAUACAUUUUCGAAGAGUCGAGUUGUUUGGGAAUGCAGCUCAAAUUGGGUGGUAAAUUCCAUCUAAAGCUAAAUAUUGGCGAGAGACCGAUAGCGAACAAGUACCGUGAGGGAAAGAUGAAAAGCACUUUGGAAAGAGAGUUAACAGUACGUGAAAUUGUUGGAAGGGAAACGCUUGAAGUCAGACUUGCUUGCCGAGCAAUCGGUUUGCAGGCCAGCAUCAGUUUUCCGGGAUGGAUAAUGGUAGAGAGAAGGUAGCAGUUUCGGCUGUGUUAUAGCUCUCUGCUGGAUACAUCUUGGGGGACUGAGGAACGCAGUGUGCCUUUGGCGGGGGUUUCGACCUCUUCACACU